This is a long non-coding RNA of Hydra vulgaris (swiftwater hydra), 491 nucleotides long. RefSeq lists it as uncharacterized. Lineage: Eukaryota; Metazoa; Cnidaria; Hydrozoa; Anthoathecata; Hydridae. The record is from RefSeq and is a predicted model, not a curated record.
UAUAAAGUUGUAUAAAAAUAUCAAGCCAAGAUGACUAAGGAUUUGAUGUCAUGUUAAUUUGAGUCAUGACUUGAAAAUUUUAAUGGUAACGUUAAUUUUAAUGGUAAAAUUUUAAUGGUAAUGAUCUUGCUAUAUCAUCGUUAUUUACAAGUCUAUUCCUGUCAAGCUUAAUAACAUCAAAUAUUACCGCAAAAUAGCAUCGUUUUAGAUUUCCUGCAGACAAAUGAUUGCAACUGAGGAUAGCAACUGAAGAAGUUGAAAUAGCAUUAUAAAUUGUGGUAUACCGAAGCUUUAGUUUUCAAUUAGAAUAAAAACGGAUAAAAGUACUAAAGAAGAAAUACGAUACAAGUUAAAGUAGAAUUUCGUUAUGCGAUCAUGCUGGCGUAAUGGGGGAAUUACUGUGGCAGAGUAUAAAUAUUGCCAAACAGUUUUGAAUGAAACUAUUGUAUAAUAAUAGUUUUGUGUUGCUUAAAAUUAUUAUGAAAUUCAAA